Molecule: ribosomal RNA, 566 nt
Filed under: uncultured bacterium
Lineage: Bacteria
Description: bacterial SSU rRNA
Rfam family: Bacterial small subunit ribosomal RNA
Source: RNAcentral
CCUACGGGAGGCAGCAGUGAGGAAUAUUGGACAAUGGGCGAAAGCCCGAUCCAGCAACGCCGCGUGGAGGAUGAAGGCCUUCGGGUCGUAAACUUCUUUAGAGGGAGACGAGAAAGGACGGUAUCCCUAGAAUAAGCGACGGCAAACUACGUGCCAGCAGCCGCGGUAACACGUAGGUCGCGAGCGUUAUCCGGAUUUACUGGGCGUAAAGCGCUUGUAGGCGGUUCUGUAAGUCGGGCGUGAAAUCUCCGGGCUUAACCCGGAGUGGCCGUUCGAUACUGCAGGGCUUGAGGAUGCUAGAGGGUGGUGGAAUUCCAGGUGUAGUGGUGAAAUGCGUAGAUAUCUGGAGGAACAUCCGUGGCGAAGGCGGCCACCUGGGGCAUUCCUGACGCUGAGAAGCGACAGCUAGGGGAUCAAACGGGAUUAGAAACCCCGGUAGUCCUAGCCGUAAACGAUGGACGCUAGGUGUUGGCAGAUCUAACCCUGUCUGCGCCGAAGCAAACGCGUUAAGCGUCCCGCCUGGGAACUACGGUCGCAAGAUUAAAACUCAAAUGAAUUGACGGAAU